This 253-nucleotide ribosomal RNA is filed under the name uncultured bacterium. Its description in RNAcentral is "partial 16S ribosomal RNA". It matches the Rfam family "Bacterial small subunit ribosomal RNA", at positions 524 to 776 of the family's 1533-position model. The record is from RNAcentral.
UACGGGGGGGGCAAGCGUUGUUCGGAAUUACUGGGCGUAAAGGGUUUGUAGGUGGCUUGCUAAGUCAGACGUGAAAUCCCUCAGCUUAACUGGGGAACUGCGUCUGAUACUGGCGAGCUUGAGUGCAGGAGAGGAACGCGGAAUUCCAGGUGUAGCGGUGAAAUGCGCAGAUAUCAGGAGGAACACCGAUGGCGAAGGCAGGUCUCUGGGCAUUAACUGACGCUGAGGAGCGAAAGCAUGGGGAGCGAACAGG